UGGGUUCUCAUGGGCUGGUGCGCGAUCGGGUGGCUACGGAUAUGUAAAAAUAGUCAGUCAAAAUGAUUAGUUUAACUGAAACUUGGUUAGAUUAUUAGUUCUUAUCAAUAAUUGAAGAAAUAAAAGAAAGAGAUUAAAACUCUAAGUUUUAAAUGAAACGAUUUGGCAGGUGUUGGGUAUAAAAUACCUCCCAGCCGAAGUUCGUGAUGGGAAUGACCCUCCAGGGAUUCAACUGACUUUCGACCUCCGG
RNAcentral lists this long non-coding RNA (250 nucleotides) under Elaeis guineensis (African oil palm). Its description in RNAcentral is "long non-coding RNA (EGUI_LNC064415)". The record is from RNAcentral. Lineage: Eukaryota; Viridiplantae; Streptophyta; Magnoliopsida; Arecales; Arecaceae.